GAUCCUGGCUCAGGAUGAACGCUAGCGGCAGGCUAACACAUGCAAGUCGAGGGGCAGCGCGAGGUAGCAAUACUUGGCGGCGACCGGCGAAAGGGUGCGUAACGCGUGAGCAACUUGCCCGUAUCUGGGACAUAAGCGGUGGAAACGCCGUCUAAUUUCCCAUAACAACAGAGGCCGCAUGACUUCUGUUUGAAAGAUCCGUCGGAUACGGAUGGGCUCGCGAGACAUUAGCUAGUCGGCGUGGUAACGGCACACCGAGGCGACGAUGUCUAGGGGUUCUGAGAGGAAGGUCCCCCACACUGGAACUGAGACACGGUCCAGACUCCUACGGGAGGCAGCAGUGAGGAAUAUUGGUCAAUGGGCGGAAGCCUGAACCAGCCAUGCCGCGUGAAGGAAUAAGGCCCUAUGGGUCGUAAACUUCUUUUGUGGUGGAGCAAUAAGGUGUACGCGUACACCGAUGAGAGUACAUCACGAAUAAGCAUCGGCUAACUCCGUGCCAGCCGCGGC
Molecule: ribosomal RNA, 507 nt
Filed under: uncultured bacterium
Lineage: Bacteria
Description: bacterial SSU rRNA
Rfam family: Bacterial small subunit ribosomal RNA
Source: RNAcentral